RNAcentral lists this ribosomal RNA (429 nucleotides) under Bacillota bacterium. Its description in RNAcentral is "Firmicutes bacterium partial 16S ribosomal RNA". It matches the Rfam family "Bacterial small subunit ribosomal RNA", at positions 355 to 776 of the family's 1533-position model. The record is from RNAcentral. Lineage: Bacteria; Bacillati; Bacillota.
UGGGGAAUUUUGGACAAUGGGGGCAACCCUGAUCCAGCAAUGCCGCGGGUGUGAAGAAGGCCUUCGGGUUGUAAAGCACUUUUGUCCGGGAAGAAAUCGCACCUGAUAAUACCGGGUGUGGAUGACGGUACCGGAAGAAUAAGGACCGGCUAACUACGUGCCAGCAGCCGCGGUAAUACGUAGGGUCCAAGCGUUAAUCGGAAUUACUGGGCGUAAAGCGUGCGCAGGCGGUUGUGCAAGACCGAUGUGAAAUCCCCGGGCUUAACCUGGGAAUUGCAUUGGUGACUGCACGGCUAGAGUGUGUCAGAGGGGGGUAGAAUUCCACGUGUAGCAGUGAAAUGCGUAGAGAUGUGGAGGAAUACCGAUGGCGAAGGCAGCCCCCUGGGAUAACACUGACGCUCAUGCACGAAAGCGUGGGGAGCAAACAGG